Molecule: long non-coding RNA, 21401 nt
Filed under: Coffea arabica (coffee)
Lineage: Eukaryota; Viridiplantae; Streptophyta; Magnoliopsida; Gentianales; Rubiaceae
Description: long non-coding RNA (CARA_LNC003023)
Source: RNAcentral
UCCAGGACACCCUUUACCCCCACUCCAAUCGCCAAUUCUACCGCGAAUGUGACAUCAGCGAACCAUAGACUUCAUUUUUGGUAAUGCCGCGGUUGUUUUCCAGAACUGCAACAUUCGGCCCCGACAGCCGCUUCCCAAUCAGUUUGUAACCAUUACAGCUCAGGGAAAGAAGGAUCCCAAUCAGAACACAGGCAUUACCAUUCAGAACUGUGUCAUGUCUCCGCUGGACAAAACUCACAGCUCCACUUACCUGGGCAGGCCCUGGAAGCCUUAUUCCACUACCGUAAUCUUGCAAACCAACAUAGGUGCCUUCCUAGCCCCAAAAGGUUGGAUUGAAUGGGUCUUCAAUGUGGAGCCACCCAGCACCAUUUUCUACGGCGAGUACCAAAACACAGGUCCCGGAUCCAGCGUCGCGCAAAGGGUGAAGUGGGCUGGUUUUAACCCGAGUCUCACAGCGACUCAAGCUUCCAAGUAUACCGUAAAAUCAUUUAUAGCCGGCCAAAGUUGGAUACCGGCAUCUGCUGUGACCUUUACGUAAAUCUCCUACACUACCCCUUUCCAAUAAAAGAGCCUCUCCUCCUUGCUUUACCACUCCAAACGGCCGACUAGUAUAGGAACAGCUUCCAACUGCUGCAUAUAGCAAUUGCACCCCCGUACGUACAUUUUUAAUGUUUUGCAGAGUUCCGUGGCUUCUACUAACAUUCUUGGUUUGUAUACAUUUAGUUCGUCUACUGGUUAUCCAUAUUACUGCUUACUAGCACUAGCACCUUAUUGCGAGUCCCCUGUCGAGAUGUUUGUAAACCACAGAGAUUGUCUGGUGUUUUGCUUGUUGGGCGAAUUGUCAGAUGAUGCAUCAAUUUUCUGAAUGAAAAAGGCAAAACUUGAGAUCAUCCUUUAUUGGGCUUGAAUGGUCUGGUGACCUCGCUAAUGCUUUUUCGGAAAUGCCUUGUCCAGCUACAUCCAAAGAUGGACGGAUGCUUGUUGAAUCCGCUUUAGUUGAUGUUUCAGACCAAACCAAAAAUAAAAAAAUCUGAUUAAGGUAAAAUUUAGCUAACAAAACUACCCUUUCUUAUUUUAGGAGCUGGAAGAUCGAAUUGCAGCUUUCAAAUUAGAAUGGCAAAAAAUUAUGCCGCACUUGAUGCAAAUAAGACAUAUAUUGAUUAGCUUUCUCUUGGCAUAUUUCUUUCCUCCAUAUAUUGAUUGUGCCACACUAACUAACUAAGAGUUUCUUUUGUUAAUCAAAAGAUGGGGCAGCAAACUGAACAGGUAACAACAACAUCAACAGAACAAUCAUGCAGGCAAAUUUUCAAUGACCCCCCAACAAAAAAACUUUCCAUCAUCGCAUAUUUUGCAAGUCUCAAUCUGUUAUUAGGAGUGCAAAACCGUAACAAGAUACUCUUAAGUGCAGUCAUUUCGCUGAAGAUCAUCUCGAGCUCGUCAAAGACGACUCUUCAUGGAGACAACUCUCAAAUUACCACGUUUAAUGCUGUGGUCUGCCAUCAACCUUAGCAGCCUGAGCCUCCUUAGAUACCAGUCUUGAUGGCUUUAACCAAAGAGUCCUUCUCCAAUGCCUCAAAUGUCUUUCUGCUGAUUCCAAAACAUCCUAUGCUAAUUAGUAUCACAUUCAUCGCAAGUGACAAUCCUGUUGGCUGCUCUGUUCAAUGCACUCGCACUUGCAUUCUCCCUUUUGUGUCUUUAUUUAUAGUUCUCGUUAUAUGUACAUAUACAUUAUAUAUAUAUAUAUUAUAUAUAUGCUAUGCAUAUGGUUUUGCCAGUUUCUCUGAAUUUCUUCUGCCACCCCACAGGAAACCGAGGAAAAUUCAUGCGACCAAGGCCUGAGUUUCGUAUCCUGGCAACUUGUGAGAUGCAAUCGUGAGGCCAGUAUAUGGUCCAAUCCAGCACGUCAAUGUCAUUUCUAGUGUGAUUGAGUCUAUCAAAAUCUUAACUCCACAUAUUAUUGCCAGGUGGAUUUGCCGAUCAGCAUAACCGAACUAGGACACAGACCUGGUCUUAGCUGAGUUGAGUAAAUGGUCUUACCCCGUCAAACUAAAAUCCUAGCUAGUUUUUCAUUCGCGAUUGGAAAGCCGGACAUCCCCUUUCCUAACAUACUCCAUCAAUGUCCCUCCAAAUAACAGCCUGAUUGCUUCUGGCUAGCAAAAACUCUCGACUGGGGAUUUUAUAUAGUUAUCUGGUUGCUGAAAAUGCAAAUGCCAAGUUUAUGAAUGUCAUUAUCCUCUUACGUUACGUUCAUCAUCAUCCUUCGGUGAAUAUUUUUGUUGGCAUUGAAAACAUGGUAUCAGAUAACUACGACCCUCUUGAAUUAUCAAGAGCAGCUUAGCUCAAUGUAGCCAGAAAACGAUGAUGCACAGUUUGGGAGUGUGUAAAAUUCCAAUUAGCUGAAGUAUUAAAUCAUGUGACAUACCCAUCGGGACAUGUGUUAAUUGAGGACAUGACAACUGCUCAAAGUUUCAUGUCCCAGCAGGGGAAGAAGGAAGCUACGUGACGCCUAUCUCGGCGUCUUAGGUGAAUUUUCUCUCAAGUUUUCCCUUUCAGAAUUUGAGUGAAACUCUCUAAUGAAGCUAUGUGAUCAAAGUACUCUUUUGCAAAGAUCACUUAAACUAAAACCUGAUUGCAAAAGCGUAAACAUAAAUAGUUUUCAUGUCAUAGAGCAAUUGAGAUUCACAGUUCCUUUCCUUGACAAACUCAGACUUAAACUUGUGAUCAAACUAUUCUUGUUGCAAACAAGAGUAUGUGAUCAAACUAUUCUUGUUUCAAACAUCACAUGAACAAAAACCAGAUUGCAAAAUCCUAAACAUUAGUAUCCGUUCAAAUCGCAAAGCAAUUGACAUUCAAAACUUCUUUCCUUGCCUAGCUAUUACUUGACUGUGCCACAGCGUCCAUCAAAGGGAAAACUAACACAGAAUCCAGAAACGAAAGAACAAGAACAGAUCAAACGACUGAUGAUCGAUCCAUCCAUAUUGAUCGGUUGAGAGAGAGAAUGCCUUAGACAGAGCAUCAAAUUGGAUAAUGACAGGUUGAAUCCAUCAUAAGGAGCUUUUUAAGUUUAACCAGCGGCAAUAAUUUUAAAUUAUAAUGGUUAGACAGCAUCUUAGAGCAAGUCCAACAGGCCACUCUCUCCUAUAAAAAGAUACUUCAUUCAUCUGCUGAAAGACAUCAGAUACUUCUCAAACCUCCUUUACAACUUCAGUCGUUUUGUAUAAUACACAAGUUUCCUCAAGAGAGGAAAAAAGAACAUCAACCUCAAGCUCGAUUAAAUAACACAUACAAUGACGAAGUCCUUCAAGGCCUAUGGGAAAGUGGAUUCUCUAGAAAAACAAGCCCUCAAACAAAGAAAUCGUAGAAAGAUGAUCAUUUUACUUCUUUCACUGGUUGUUUUGGUAGCUCUCAUCAUUGGAAUCGUGGUGGGGACUCUUAAUCACAAGAAGAACAAGAAUGGUGAUGAUGCUCUUUCUUCAACUCCAAACUCAGCUCAAUCAAUAAAAGCAGUCUGCAGUGUAGCAACUUAUCCAAAAUCAUGUUACAGUAGCCUUUCACCAUUCGGGACUUCAAAUUCCACAAUUGACCCGGAAAAGCUCUUCCAUCUUUCUUUGCAAGUCGUCCACGACUCCCUGGAGAAGCUCUCCACUCUGCCUCAGGAAUGGAUAAACAAUACUGAUGACCCUGAAGUCAAGAAGGCUUUGGGUGUAUGCCAAACGGUAUUUGAUGAAGCAGUUGAUGCCGUCAAUGAAUCUAUCUUAUCCUUAAACGUGAUCGACAGCAACAAAGUAUUCUCCGUGAAGAGAAUCCAUGAUCUCAAGACUUGGCUGAGCACCUCCCUUACCGAUCUAGAGACAUGCUUGGAUACUCUGGAAGAAGUUAAUGCUACAAUCUUGGAAGACGUGAGAACAGCAAUGAAGAACUCAACCGAAUUUGCCAGCAACAGUUUGGCAAUAGUCUCGAAACUCGUUGAAAUUCUCAGCGACUUUCAAAUCCCAGUUAAUAGGAAGUUGCUAGGGGAGACAGGAAGAAGUUCAGGUUUUCCCCAUUGGGUUAGAGCAGCUGACAGGAGGCUGCUUCAAACGUCUAAGGAUCCACAGCCUGAUCUGGUCGUGGCCCUGGACGGCAGUGGAGAUUAUAGGACAAUCAAUGAGGCGGUGGCAAGGAUUCCGAUAAACAGUAAAACAAGGUUUGUGAUCUAUGUUAAGGCCGGUGUUUAUAAGGAGAAGGUGAUAUUGGACAAGCCCUUGUGGAAUGUGAUGAUGUAUGGAGAUGGCAAGACCGAGACCAUUGUUACCUUCGACGACAAUUAUGUUGAUGGAACCCGAACUUUCGACACGCCUACAUUCGGUGAGUACUCUUCGUCCAUAUAUAAACCUCUGUUGAUUUUGAGUACUUUUUGUCAUUUAUAACUGUGUAGCUGACAUUGGUUCAUGUUUACUACCAGCUGUGACGGGGAAAAAUUUCAUAGCAAAGAACAUGGGAUUCAAGAACACAGCUGGACCAGAAAAGGAGCAGGCCGUGGCAGUGCGGUCCGGCUCCGACCAAUCUGUUUUCCAUCAGUGUUCUUUUGAUGGCUUCCAAGAUACCCUUUAUUCACACACCAAUCGCCAAUUCUACAGCAAAUGCGACAUCAUUGGGACAGUAGACUUCAUAUUUGGUAAUGCUGCGGUUGUUUUUCAGGACUGCAACAUUUUGCCCAGACAGCCACUUCCGGAUCAAUUUGUAACCAUAACGGCUCAAGGAAAGAAGGAUCCCAAUCAGAACACAGGCAUUAGUAUUCAAAGCUGUGUCGUGAUUCCGCUGGACAACGUCACAGUUCCAGUCUUCCUCGGCAGGCCCUGGAAGAAUUACUCCACCACUAUAAUCAUGCAAACUAAAAUUGGCGGCUUGUUGAGUCCGGGGGUUGGAUAGAGUGGUUCCGAAAUGUGGAGCCACCCAGCACCAUUUUCUACGCCGAGUACCAAAACACGGGUGCAGGAGCAAGCGUCGCCAACAGGGUCAAAUGGGCAGGCUACAGGCCCACUCUCACACCCAAACAAGCUUCUAAUUUCGCUAUAGGACCAUUUCUAGAUGGCCAAGAUUGGAUACCGGCAUCACAGGUGACCUUUACGUAGAUGACAAAAGUAAAUCUCCAUAGAUUGCAGAUUGGAACGUCUUCAUCAUUCAGUAAAAUCAGCACACGGAAGAGACGGCAGUGGUCAUCAAAUAGAAGGAUGGCAUACCAUCAUUCCAGCUUUGCUUCUUGUAUUCUUCAUUUUGUUUCCUACUUUUGAUUUUUUAUUUAUGAAAAUGUUUUGCUUCUCCUGUACAAUUAAUUCUUUAGGAGGAGUGUUUUAUCUCUGUCUUGCCCGUUGGACCAAUUUGUGAGAAAAUGCAUCGAGCCUUUUGUCUGGAAAGUAAGUUGGAGGGGUCUGUUGGUCCAUUGCUGGGCCUAAUCUGAAACAAGAAGUCUCCACUCCCAGAAUAUCAGAAUUAGAAUAGGAAAGCAUCGAUUCUCAUAGAAGUCUCCACUCCCAGAUGUGAUCGUCAAAUUAUUUCCAACUUCCAAAUGGCCCUUCACAUAGUCCGUUGCAAAUACUACUAGUAGUACUAAAAUUUGAAAGCAUCAAGUUAAUCAGAUUAUGUCAACGCUGGGUGGGCAGACGGAUAAAUGAAAGUUUCAAGAAGAUAAACGGAGGGGAUUAUGCAUUAUAGUUCUAGGCUUCUGCAGUAUCAAAAAAAAAAAUUUUUUUUUUGGGGUGAAAAUCAGACCAGUACUAGAGUAGUAGAUGAAUGAUUACUAGUAGGAAAAACUGUCCGUCAAAUUACAAUCUUUGAUGCAGGUGAUUUACCACUUGCGCCGUCGGCAUCAGCAGCGGGGAGGGCUGGGCUGGUUACUUCGCCGUAGAUAGCCUUAAGCUUGGAAAGAGGAACUAAGGGCCCCCCUGCUGCUCUAGAAGAAUUCUUGGACCCCGCGGCAGCAGCCUCCUCAGCCUCGGCAAAGAGUUGCUUCUUCCAGUCCCAAAUAGUAGCCUUGAUGGCUUUAUUGGAUUUGACCAAAGACUCCUUCUCUGCCUCCAAUGCCUCAAUAUCCCUCUGCUGCCUCAUCGACCGAACUCCCAGCGCCCCAAAGCACCCAAUUAGAAACACAUUCAUCAAUCCAUUGCUGUUUGCUGCUCUGUUCAGUGCCUCCGCUGCUCUCUCCAUUUCCACAACUCACUAAAAUCGACCGCCACCCUUUUCUUUCUUCUGUUUUUUUUUUCUUGCUGUUUUUAUCUCGACGGCAGGCAGAUUUAAAUUUUUUUUUAAUAUAUAUAUAUAUAUAUAUAUAUAAUAUAUAUAUAUAUAUAUAUAUAUAUAUACGGGACGACGAGGGCAAUGGGAAUUAGGAAUACAUCAAAAGAGCAAACUUUUAUUCAAUACCAUUCCUUCUUUUCUUUAUCAAGAAUUUAAUUUCGAUAUGGAAGGAAAAAGGGAAUAAGGAUACUCACGAUGAUGGAGGCUUUCAAUCCUGUGAUUCUUCUGCUCUAGAUUGAAGAAGCCCAGAUCCGAAGAAAGCCAGGAACUCAGAAGGGAAACGGAAUUGGGGAAGGAGGCGAAAAGGGCCACUGUAGACGGAGCUGCGAAGAGACGGGUUUCGGCUCUGGGUUUUUUGUGCGUUGGACUUGGGUUAAUUAGCAUCAGGAGAAUUUUUUUCCCUACUUACGAAAAUGAUACUACUACUAGUAGGGAAAUGCCAAAAGGGCAAAAACAAAAAAAAGGGUCAAUUUAAUUUUUCAUAAUAAUUGAUCCCAUGCUCUUUUAAGUUUUAGUACUACGUUGGUUUUCACUUUUUUUUUUUUUCCGAAACGUUAGUUUGCUUGCAUUGAACUAUAAAAAAGAGUUAACAAAUCGAGCAAAGGCCCGAACAUAUGUACAUCACGUGCUCAUUGACACGGAGGAACAAGAGCUUCCUCAUCCAACAAAAUGCCUAAGGCAUAUGAGCUAAUAUUAGCACAAACAUCCUUAUCAUCAUAAUUAACUAAGCUAAAGGAGCACACUCGAAACAAAGACUUUAACACAAUAUAUUUUCAAGGAUUGUUGUCAAUCUGCAGUCUGAGGAUUUGCCAAACUUGAGGCGCUUCAGUAGGUCCUUGUUGUGAAUUUGUAUACUGAUGUUGCUCCAAUGUCUGUCCAAAGCUUUGCAUAAAAUCAAUUGAACAGCAGCGGCAUCAUCUAUAUUUUGGUCACCCGAGCUUCUGUCUUUUAAGGCCUACAACUCCUUUGCCUCCGUUUGCAUCUUAGAAAUGUCAACUCCAAUUCCCAGCACUGCAUGUUUUUGUGAUCUUCUGGUUGCCAUCUUCAGAAUGAUGAGGUCUUGACUUUGUUGUGCAUGACAGUCCUCUUCCAAAGUCGUCAGUGUUUCUGUUGUACUCCUAGAGUUCUUCAUAGGCUCUAGAUCCUCUAGUUCUAGCCACUCCUUGUGUGCUUUUUGAAUAACACUACACGGAUGGCUGCCAGUAUGAUGCUCAAACUCCCUCUUAUUUCUGUCCUUCCAUAUCUGCCACAGUAUAUUAGCCGUAAGUCCCAUGUGGCUUCUCCCUUCUUGCCUUUUCCUAGCCUCAGUAAUUGUACUCCACCAUCUUUGAAAGUUCCCUGUCUGGUCUUUAGCUCCAUCCCAUAUUAAUGGAGCUACUUUCCAAAUCUUCUGUGCUAGAGGGCAUUGCAGUAAGGUGUGCUCAAUUGUCUCAGGCUCUUCUCCACAUCCUUUACACACUGGAUCCCUUAAUGCAGCUCUCUUGUGUAUAGCCUCUCUGACAGGUAAAUGAUAGGGUGUUAAUUGUUGGUAUUUUUAUUAUUAAUUUUCCCUUCUAUCCCUGACAAAUAUUGUGUUAAUUGCUGAUAUUUACUCAUAUUUGGUAUCGGGACUUAAUUUCAGGAAUGAAGCAGAAAACUACCAAAAAGGAGGGACUUUUUGGAGAAUAUGGAGACUUCUAAGGGAUUCAAUCCUUAGGCCUUGGAUUGGUGGGGACCACAAAGCUAUAAGUCAUUUGGGCUCUUAAAAGAAAGGAACGUAGAGAGACUUGGAAGAAGAAGUAAUUUUGGAGACUUUGUCCACAUGUGUGGGGACCACCGGAGAUAGCUUUUAGUCAUCUUACUUUUGGCUUUUUAAGGAGAGGACGUACAGAAGCAAGGGGGGACCUCUAGUUUAGCUUUUUAGUUUAGUUCUAGUUUCCUUUCUCUGGACUGGCCUCUGACACACGCCAGGUGUUCGACAAUAUUCCCCAACGGGAAAAACAUCUUUUAUUCCUUGCUUUCUAGUAAAAACGCAAUGCCUUUGCAAUCCAGUACUUUUGGCUGCAAUUCAACUAUGAGGAGUGGCUAAUUUCUUCAUCUAGUCAGAGGUUAAAUCGAAGCUUUGGUUCGACAAAACUGUGAGAUCGAAUUGAUUUCCCUACGUUCUUUAAUUUGCAAGUAUUUAUAUAUUUCCUGUUCACUUAUGCAUAUGAUUAUUUCUUGCAAUUAAAUACUUGAUCACUGUUUAAUUGUGUGAGUAAUUAACAGCCAUCUAAGAGUGCUCAAUCCGUAAUUGUUGGGUAAUUUUAGUGCAUGUGGCAAGUGAUAUGAUUCAAUUGUAGUAGAAACUUUUGAGUCGUUGUUGCGGAAAUAUAUGAUAUAGCCUAAAUAAACCGAGCGUGUGUGUUUGUUGGUUAUAAUUGGUGGCCAGUCUAAUGAUUAAUGCUGUCAAUAGGUUAAAUCCUAAGAGCGUGUUUAGGACUGCUUAAUUGGCUAGGGCAAUAACUACAGAGCUUGUUGUGGUUAUCGAAUCAGGAAGGUUAGGCAGGUUGUCAGAGCUUGUUGACAACCAUAACCAGUUUAUUUGUAAAUGAAAGAUUUUAUCUCUGCAUCUGUGAUCAGUGAUUCGAACCAUAAGUGGAGAUUAUACCUUUGACUAGAGAUUUUCCUUCCGUCAAUUUACUUUAUAUUUUUAAUUUGAGCAAUUAAAUUAGACAGUUCCAUAUCAACUUCCCCCAUUUUUAUUUAAUGUUACAUUCAUUCAAAAUAAAUUCCCAAGUCCCUGUGGAUUCGACCCUGCUCGCUGCUAUAUUCGAAUUUUGUCUUUCACGUAAUUAAUACACUUUGGUAUAUCGGAUCAAACAAACUCUGGCACCAGGGUGAAGCUAGUAACCCAUUGCACAGCCUAAGUCCCUGCUCCAGUACCAUAGUGGACUUAAUUCGUGACUUAAGAGUAGGAAUUUUAUUUUUGCUGGUUUGACACCCAACAAAUUUUGGCGCCGUUGCCGGGGACUUGGUGUCAAAAUAAAUUUAUUUUCUUUGAAUUUUAUUUUCUUUGUUUAUUUUUAUUUUUAUUUUUUUUUUUACUGGUUUAUGCCUAGAUCUUCUCGUACAGGUGAACUGCAAUAUAAUCCUGAGAUAGAGAAGACUGCUCGUGCAUUGAGAAAAGCAACAAGAGAACGAGCAGAGGCAUCCUCCUCAUCUACUGGACAUAAUUCAGUAGUAGAUUUUGUGGAUUCAUUUAGUGAGACGGAAGAGAUAAAUAGCACCAUGGCUAAUGAACGGACAUUGAGAGAAUUGGCUGCACCAGAUUUAAAUCAACAGCCCCUAUGCAUUACUUAUCCUACAUUAGAGGUUGCAUUUGAGUUAAAAUCUGGACUAAUCCAUUUACUUCCUUCUUUUCAUGGCUUACCAGGUGAAGAUCCCCACAAGCAUCUCAAAGAAUUCCAUGUGGUUUGCUCGACAAUGAAACCCCAGGGAGUCACAGAGGAGCAAAUUAAAUUAAGAGCCUUUCCAUUUUCCUUAGCCGAUAAAGCUAAGGAUUGGCUCUAUUAUCUGCCCUCUGGGUCAAUAUCCACAUGGACAGACAUGAAGAAGCAUUUUCUAGAAAAAUUCUUUCCUGCAUCCCGAGCUGCAAGCAUUAGGAAAGACAUCUGUGGAAUUCGACAAUUCAAUGGAGAGACUCUACAUGAAUAUUGGGAAAGAUUCAAGCAACUAUGUGCUAGUUGUCCUCAUCAUCAAAUUCCUGACCAACUCCUCAUCCAGUAUUUUUAUGAGGGUCUGUCCCAAACUGACAGAAGAAUUAUUGAUGCUGCCAGUGGGGGCUCCUUAGUGAAUAAAACACCCACGGAGGCAAGAAAUUUGAUAUCGAGUAUGGCUGCAAAUGCUCAACAAUUUGGAGACAGGCAGGAUAACACGACUCGUAGAGUCAAUGAGGUAAGUAAUUCUUCAAUAGAGCAAAGAUUAGAUUGUCUAACUUCUUUGGUUGAAAAGUUAGCUAUAGGACAAAUGCAGCAAUUGAAAACAUGUGGAAUCUGCUAUGGUUCGAGUCAUCCAACAGAUAUGUGCCCCACACUCCAAGAUGAUUCGACUGAGCAGGCUAAUGCAGUUGGAUUUCCAGGACCACCUCAGAGACGGUAUGAUCCCUAUGCAAAUACCUAUAAUCCAGGAUGGAGGGAUCAUCCUAAUUUUAAUUAUGCAGUAAGUCCACCAGGAUUUCCACAACAGUCACAAUAUCAACCUAGACCUCAACUUUCACAGCAACAACCUGCUCCUAAAUCAGGUAUGUCACUUGAGGAUAUUGUGAAAUCUUUGGCUACUAACACUCAACAAUUUCAACAGGAGACGAAAACUAGCAUUCAUAAUUUGGAGAAUCAAAUGAGCCAGUUAGCUUCCACAGUCAAUAGAUUGGAGUCCCAAUUAUCUGGAAAGCUACCUUCGCAGACAAUUGUCAACCCCAAGCAAAAUGCUAGUGCCAUCACAUUAAGAAGUGGCAAAGAGUUGCCUGAGCCGAGCAAGAAAAUUUCUGAACAAGCAAUCGAGGAAGAGCUCGAAAAAGAGGGGAAUGUGUCUCAACCUAGAGCCUUGGAACAACCAGAUUUUGGAGAAAAAUCAACACAAGUGGUUACACCUCCGCCUCCAUUUCCUAGUCGACUGGCAAAGUCCAAAAAGCAAGAGCAAGAACAGGAGAUUUUGGACACUUUUCGAAAAGUUGAGGUAAAUAUCCCUCUUUUAGAUGCAAUUAAGCAAAUUCCUAGAUAUGCUAAAUUUUUGAAGGAGUUAUGCACUGGUAAGAAAAAGUUGAAAGGAAACGAGAAAGUGCAUAUGGGAGAAAAUGUUUCGGCAGUUUUGCAGAAAAAAUUGCCUCCUAAAUGCAAGGACCCAGGUAUGUUUACUGUCCCUUGCAAAAUAGGUAAUAUUAAAAUUGAAAAAGCUAUGUUGGAUUUGGGUGCUUCGAUAAAUGUUAUGCCUCGUUCUAUUUAUAAUUUGAUGAACAUUGGGCCUUUAAAAGAGACGGGCGUAAUAAUUCAACUGGCUGAUCGAUCAAAUGCCUAUCCUGAUGGAGUUUUGGAGGAUAUUUUAGUGCAAAUUGAUAAUUUGAUUUUUCCUGCAGAUUUUUAUGUGCUUGAUAUGGAGGAUGAUAAUUCUAAUUCAUCUCCAAUACUGUUAGGGAGACCAUUUUUGAAAACUGCUAGAACAAAAAUUGAUGUUUUCACUGGCACAUUGACUAUGGAAUUUGAUGGUGAUGUUAUUAAAUUUAGUAUUUAUGAUGCCAUGAAAUAUCCUGGUGAAUCUCAUUCAAUUUUUGUUAUAGAUGUAAUUGAUUCUUUGGCGCAGCAAAAUUUUGAAUUUAAUAAUGACGAUGCGUUGAAGGUUGCUAUUUCUACUGGUCUCUGUCAGGAAAAUUUGCAAAAGAUAAAAGGGAAGUUUGUUUUUCCUUUUGAAUUGCAGGAAGUUAUUUUUGAAUUGAAUUCUCUUUGUCCAGAAUUUUCCAAUGUGUCUUACUUGGAAUUACCUCUGUCUCAUUCACAGCUUUUGCCAUCUAUUGUGCAAGCCCCGAAGGUGGAAUUAAAGCAGUUACCGGAUAAUUUAAAGUAUGCAUUCUUGGGAGAUGGAGAUACACUCCCAGUAAUAAUUUCCAGUAAAUUGACUGCUUUAGAGGAAGAAAAACUAAUUCGGGUGUUGAAGGACCACAAGGAGGCAAUAGGAUGGACAGUGGCUGACAUAAAAGGAUUAAGUCCAGCCACUUGCAUGCAUCGCAUCUUGUUAGAAGAUGGUGCUAAGCCUUCGAGAGAGGCUCAACGGAGAUUGAACCCACCAAUGAUGGAGGUAGUGAAGAAAGAAGUUUUAAAACUUCUUGACACAGGUAUAAUCUAUCCCAUUUCGGAUAGUAAGUGGGUAAGUCCUGUUCAAGUAGUUCCUAAAAAGACAGGAUUACUGUUAUUGAAAAUCCUAAAGGUGAGUUAGUGCCCACUCGAGUUCAAAAUGGGUGGAGAGUUUGUACCGAUUUUAGAAAAUUAAAUGCAUUAACUCGUAAAGAUCAUUUUCAUUGCCUUUUAUUGAUCAGAUGUUGGAAAGGUUGGCAGGAAAAUCUCAUUAUUGCUGUCUUGAUGGUUUUUCAGGUUUUCUACAAAUUCCAGUGGCGCCUGAAGAUCAAGAGAAAACCACAUUUACUUGCCCUUUUGGUACAUUUGCCUAUAGACGAAUGCCUUUUGGUCUUUGUAAUGCGCCUGCUACAUUCCAAAGGUGUAUGGUUAGUAUAUUUUCUGAUUAUGUGGAGAAUAUCAUAGAAGUGUUUAUGGAUGAUUUUACUGUAUGGUAAUUCUUUUGAUGAAUGUUUAACUAACCUCACAAAAAUUCUUAAAAGGUGCAUUGAGACUAAUCUUGUUUUAAAUUAUGAGAAAUGCCAUUUUAUGGUGGACCAAGGCAUAAUUUUAGGCCAUGUGGUAUCUGCAAAAGGAAUUGAGGUAGAUAAGGCUAAGGUAGAAAUUAUCAAAUGUUUACCUUACCCUGCAAGUGUGCGGGAAGUUCGCUCUUUUCUUGGCAUGCAGGUUUUUAUAGGCGUUUCAUCAAAGAUUUUUCAAAGAUAUUCCAUCCUCUAUGCAAAUUACUUCAAAAGGAUGUGGUAUUUCAUUUUGAUGAUAAUUGCAAGAGUGCAUUUGACACGCUCAAGGGAUCAUUGACUUCAGCACCAGUGGUUCGACCACCAAAUGGAGUCUUCCUUUCGAGAUAAUGUGUGAUGCCAGCAAUUUUGCUGUUGGUGCAGUACUUGGCCAGAAGGAGGGCAGAGCUUCUUAUGUAAUUUAUUAUGCCUCGAGGACCUUGGAUGGUGCCCAGUGCAAUUAUUCGACUACGGAAAAGGAGCUUUUAGCUAUUGUUUUUGCUUUAGAAAAAUUCCGUUCUUAUUUACUUGGCACUAAAGUCAUUAUUUAUUCUGACCAUGCAGCUUUGAAAUAUUUGCUCAACAAGAAAGAGGCCAAACCACGACUUAUAAGGUGGAUUCUCCUACUGCAAGAAUUUAAUUUGGAAAUUAAUGACAAAAGGGGUGCCGAAAAUAUGGUUGCUGAUCAUCUCAGUCGUUUGAUCAAUAGUGAAGGACCUGCUCCCUUGAAGGAUAAUUUUCCAGAUGAGCAUCUUUUUGUAGUUCAAAAGACAACUCCCUGGUAUGCUGAUUUAGUGAAUUAUCUGGUUACUAGAACGCUACCUAAUGAUUUGUCUAGAGCUCAAAAGGAAAAAAUUAAAAGUGAUGUUAAAUAUUAUGUGUGGGAUGAACCAUACUUGUGGAAAUAUUGUUCUGAUCAAAUUAUUCGCAGGUGUGUGUCUAAAGAAGAGGUUCCAUCAAUUUUAUCUUUCUGUCACUCAUAUGCGUGUGGUGGACAUUUUGGCCCUAAGCGAACUGCAAGAAAGGUUUUAGAGUGUGGUUUAUUUUGGCCAACUUUGUUUAGUGAUGCAUACUUAUUUUGUAAAUCAUGUGCAAAUUGUCAAAAGACAGGUAAUUUAAGCCAUAGAGAUCAAAUGCCUCUUACUCCUAUACUGGUUUGUGAAAUUUUCGAUAUAUGGGGUAUAGAUUUUAUGGGUCCAUUUCCUUCCUCUUUUGGUAAUAUGUAUAUAUUACUUGCAGUUGAUUAUGUCUCAAAGUGGAUAGAGGCUAAGGCAACUAGGACUGACAAUGCUAAGGUUGUAGUUGAUUUUAUUAAAUCUCAUAUUUUUGUCAGGUAUGGCACGCCAAGAGCAAUUAUCAGUGACCGAGGGACACACUUCUGCAAUCGAGUAAUGGAAGCAUUGUUGAAGAAAUAUGGCGUCACUCACCGGGUUUCUACGUCCUAUCAUCCGCAGACUAGUGGUCAAGCAGAAAUCUCCAAUAAAGAAAUCAAGUCGAUACUUGAAAAGACGGUGAAUCCCAAUAGAAAGGAUUGGAGUUUGCGCUUAGAUGAUGCACUUUGGGCUUACCGUACAGCUUUUAAGACCCCCAUAGGUAUGUCUCCUUACCGAUUAAUUUUUGGCAAACCUUGUCAUCUACCUGUGGAAUUGGAACAUAGGGCAUAUUGGGCAGUUAAAAAUUAUAAUAUGCGGAUGGAUGAAUCUGGAGAACACAGGAAGUUGCAAUUGCAAGAGUUGGAGGAAAUCCGAAAUGAUGCAUAUGAGAGUUCUUGCAUUUAUAAGGAGAAGACAAAAGCAUUACAUGAUAAAGCAAUUUUAAGGAAAAUUUUUUGUAUUGGUCAAAAAGUACUUCUUUUUCACUCUAGACUUAAACUUUUUCCUGGUAAAUUGCGUUCUCGUUGGAUUGGACCUUUUAUUGUGACUAAUGUGUUUCCUCAUGGUGCAGUAGAAAUUCAAAGUCUUCACACUGACAAGAUUUUUAAGGUUAAUGGUCAUCGUCUCAAACCUUUUUAUGAAGGAUUUCAAGUUAAUAAUGUUGAGGAGGUGACCCUUGCAGUGCCUGAACUCUCUGAUUGAAGCAUUAUUUUGUCUAGCCAAAGACAUUAAAGAAAGGCGCUUUUGGGAGGCAACCCAAUUGUUCAUUUUAAUUGUUUGUUCAAUUCCGUGUGGUAGUUUAGAGGUGUUCUCCUUGAAUUCGACUAAUUUUGGGUUUCAGUUUUCGUUUUUGCCGAUUUAUAGGUGCCCUUCAGUUUUGACGUGCCCGCGUGAUGACGUGCAGGAAGCUCACAAUCAGAAUCGUCCGAAAGCCACCGUGAUACGCGACUUAGAAAACGCGAGUUGAAGGCGCGUUUUUAGUCGCGUUUUCAUUCCUGCAAGAUUCGUGCAGAAAACGCGACUUACGAAAACGCGAGUUGAAGGCGCGUUUUCAUUCCGCAAGAUUUGUGAAGGAAACGCGACUUAUAAAACGCGAGUUGAAGGCGCGUUUUUAAUCGCGUUUUCAUUCCUGCGAGAUUUGUGCAUAAAACGCGACUUAGAAAACGCGAGUUGAAGGCGCGUUUUCAUUCCUGCAAGAUUUGUGAAGGAAACGCGACUUAUAAAACGCGAGUUGAAGGCGUGUUUUCAAUCGCGUUUUAUGUGUCCCAACAAAGGCUUCAGAAACGCGAUUUCAGCUCAUUUCUUCCUCUCUUCUUAGUUUUCCAGGUUCAGACUUUGGAGGCUCGCAUGGUCAACGUCGAUGCCAAUGUCGCCGGCAUGGCACAGGAUUUGGCGCAGUUUCUGUUUCUUACAGGCUUUGCACCUCCGUUUCCACCUCGCCCUUCACUAUGCCCCGAUUUCAGGGAAGUGUGGUUGCUUUCCCUCUCACUUUUGCUUUUUAUUUGUCACAUUGAGGACAAUGUAGGAUUUAGGUGUGGGGGGAGCAGUUAUGGUGCUAGUGUCUUUCAUUCAUUUUCUUUUUCUUCUUUUUAGUGAUUAGCUCGUAUGUGAUGCCAAGUUUGAUGUUGGAUUGUUGCCUCUAUUUCUGCUAUUGCCAAGUUUUAAUAAUAAAAGGGUACCAAGUUAAUGUGGUUGAAUCCAAAAACAUCUCUUUGGUGAAUAUCAAUGAUUGUUUUACUCUUAUAAUUUUUGGUUAACUUUCCUAGGCAUAGGGAAUGAUUAUUGGCAUUUUCGUGUGAAUUGGUCCGGUUAUUAACUUUAGUUCUCCAUGUUUGAAAAUGAGGCUAGCUGAUGCAAGUUUUCUUUUGGUUUUUGUGUUAUAUUGAGUUUUUGUGAUUUUUAACUAUGAAUAAACUUGACUGUACUCCGCUAUUAGUUACUACUGAGUAACCGGGGAUCUGCACCUAAAAGUGUUGAUUCUCGCGUCAAAAGGUAGUAACUUCUAUGAGUACGUGGUCACGUGGCGAUAGAAGCUGAGUAACCGGGCUCCUUCAUCUGGCCAAUGUUGGAGUUCGCGUCAAAAGGCUCAAAUGGCUAGUGACUAAGUAUAUUGUUACUUAUGCAAAAAAAAAAAAAAAAAAAAAAAAGAGAAAAGUAGAAAAAAUGUGAAAAAAAGUGAAGGUUGUGUUAGUGUGUAAUAAAAGUCAGCUUGCCGAAUUAUGGAUUUAAUGUUGAGAUUUUGAUUAAUAGUUGGACCAUUUGCUGAUAACUGUUGUGUGUCAUUCCUUUUUCUUAGAUUAGUUAACCUGGAAUUAGAGGCAUUUGUGGUUUAGAAGCUAACCGGAGUGAUGUUUCUUGGACUUGACCAUUGAUGCUUGAAUAUUAUUUUUCUUGGUAUCUUGGCAAUUUGUUGGAUAGAGCAAUAGCCACUAUCAAAUAUUGGUGUUUGUUUCUUGUUCUCAUGCUUGAGGACAAGCAUGGUUUAGGUGUGGGGGGAAUUGAUAGGGUGUUAAUUGUUGGUAUUUUUAUUAUUAAUUUUCCCUUCUAUCCCUGACAAAUAUUGUGUUAAUUGCUGAUAUUUACUCAUAUUUGGUAUCGGGACUUAAUUUCAGGAAUGAAGCAGAAAACUACCAAAAAGGAGGGAUUUUAUGGAGAAUAUGGAGACUUCUAAGGGAUUCAAUCCUUAGGCCUUGGAUUGGUGGGGACCACAAAGCUAUAAGUCAUUUGGGCUCUUAAAAGAAAGGAACGUAGAGAGACUUGGAAGAAGAAGUAAUUUUGGAGACUUUGUCCACAUGUGUGGGGACCACCGGAGAUAGCUUUUAGUCAUCUUACUUUUGGCUUUUUAAGGAGAGGACGUACAGAAGCAAGGGGGGACCUCUAGUUUAGCUUUUUAGUUUAGUUCUAGUUUCCUUUCUCUGGACUGGCCUCUGACACACGCCAGGUGUUCGACAAUAUUCCCCAACGGGAAAAACAUCUUUUAUUCCUUGCUUUCUAGUAAAAACGCAAUGCCUUUGCAAUCCAGUACUUUUGGCUGCAAUUCAACUAUGAGGAGUGGCUAAUUUCUUCAUCUAGUCAGAGGUUAAAUCGAAGCUUUGGUUCGACAAAACUGUGAGAUCGAAUUGAUUUCCUUACGUUCUUUAAUUUGCAAGUAUUUAUAUAUUUCCUGUUCACUUAUGCAUAUGAUUAUUUCUUGCAAUUAAAUACUUGAUCACUGUUUAAUUGUGUGAGUAAUUAACCGCCAUCUAAGAGUGCUCAAUCCGUAAUUGUUGGGUAAUUUUAGUGCAUGUGGCAAGUGAUAUGAUUCAAUUGUAGUAGAAACUUUUGAGUCGUUGUUGCGGAAAUAUAUGAUAUAGCCUAAAUAAACCGAGCGUGUGUGUUUGUUGGUUAUAAUUGGUGGCCAGUCUAAUGAUUAAUGCUGUCAAUAGGUUAAAUCCUAAGAGCGUGUUUAGGACUGCUUAAUUGGCUAGGGCAAUAACUACAGAGUUUGUUGUGGUUAUCGAAUCAGGAAGGUUAGGCAGGUUGUCAGAGCUUGUUGACAACCAUAACCAGUUUAUUUGUAAAUGAAAGAUUUUAUCUCUGCAUCUGUGAUCAGUGAUUCGAACCAUAAGUGGAGAUUAUACCUUUGACUAGAGAUUUUCCUUCCGUCAAUUUACUUUAUAUUUUUAAUUUGAGCAAUUAAAUUAGACAGUUCCAUAUCAACUCCCCCAAUUUUUAUUUAAUGUUACAUUCAUUCAAAAUAAAUUCCCAAGUCCCUGUGGAUUCGACCCUGCUCGCUGCUAUAUUCGAAUUUUGUCUUUCACGUAAUUAAUAUACUUUGGUAUAUCGGAUCAAGCAAACUCUGGCACCAGGGUGAAGCUAGUAACCCAUUGCACAGCCUAAGUCCCUGCUCCAGUACCAUAGUGGACUUAAUUCGUGACUUAAGAGUAGGAAUUUUAUUUUUGUUGGUUUGACACCCAACAGUAAAACACCAUUGAUACACUUCCAAAUGAAGAUUUUAAAUUUAUGCUUGAUAUUGAGCUUCCACAGAGUGUUCCAAAGAUGUUUGUUUUGGAUACCACCAGCAUCAAGGCUUGUUCCUGCAUUCUCCAUAUUUGUUUUUGUGCCUGAACUAUCUUCCAUUAAUCUCUUGUAGCCUGAUCUUACUGUGUACACACCCCCUUCACUGUAUUUCCAAUAAUUAGAAUCUGCUCUACCAGCUAGACUUAUUGGAAUACUGAGUAUACUUUCUGCAUCAGAUUUGUUGAAGAGUCUAAAGAUUAUAUUUGUGUUCCAUCUUCUGUUGGUGAUGAGUUGUUGGACUGUGUCAUACUCACAGUUUUGGGGUCUUGGAGUAGAAGGCCUGCCAUUCGGGGCUUUUGGUAUCCACUUGUGAUCCCAUAUUUUAGUGCUGCUCCCGUCACCAAUUCUCCGCAGUACACCUUCUUCCACCAUCUCCCUCACACUUAUCAGGUCUUUCCAAAACCAAGACGCACAACCUUGCACUUUGCAAUUAAAGAUAGACCCCUUAGGAAAAUAUUUGGCUUUCAGAACCUUGCUCAUAAGUAGAUUAGGCUUGGUGAUUAUCCUCCAGAUCUGUUUACCUAAUAGAGCUUUGUUGAAGGCCUCCAAAUCCUUGAACCCCAGUCCCCCUUCCUUUCUGUCCCUAGCCAUUUUCGCCAAGAAAUCCAGUGCAUUUUGUUUUUCCCAUUAGCUUCCCCCCACCAGUAGUUUGCCAUAGCUGAACUGAGAUCCUUACAAAGUUUCCUUGGCAAUUUGAAGCACGACAUAAUAUAUGUGGGCAUUGCCAUUGUGACAGCUUUAAUCAUAACUUCCUUUCCUGCAUUGCUUAACAGCUUAUUCUUCCAGCCUUCCAAUCUUCUAUUGAUGUUUUCUCUUAUGUAUCGAAGAUUUGGUCCUUUGUCCUUGAAAUCACCAUGGGUAGACCAAGAUACUUUCCUUGCUUUACUUCUUCCAUACCCCCUAGUAUACUGCAAAUCUCACUUUUCUGCCUUCUCUCUACAUUCUUGCUAAAGAUCACAGAUGACUUCUCUAAGUUGAUCAAUUGUCCAGAAGCUUGUUCAUACACCUUUAAGAUUCUCAUGAUUUCUUCAGCUUGCUGCUUAUCAACUCCAUAGAAAAUGAGUGAGUCAUCCGCAAAGAAAAAGAUGAGUAAUAUUUGGUCCCUGCCUACUAAUUUUCACGCCUUUCAAGCUCCUAUCCUCAACAGAUCUUUGGAGUAAGUUUGAGAACCCUUCAGAGCAAAUCAAAAAAGAUAAGGUGACAGUGGAUCACCCUGUCUUAUCCCUCUACCUGGCUUCACAUAUCUUUUUACCUCCCCAUUGCAGUUGAAAGAGUAUGAAACAGUCUCUAUGCAUCUUGCAAUCCAGUAUACCCAUUUUUCACAAAAACCCAUUUUAAGCAUCAUAGCUUUCAAGAAGUGCCAUUCCACCCUAUCGUAAGCUUUAGCCAUGUCUAACUUGAUAGCCAUAUACCCUUCUUUCCCAAGCCUUUUGUUUUUCAGAUAUUGCAUGUAUUCCUGAGCUAUAAUUACAUUAUCAAGAAUUUGCCUAUCCGGGAUGAAGGCAGACUGAUUUUUACUGAUGCAUUUGUCAAGAACUGUUUCAAUCUGAUGCAUUUUACUGAUGCAUUUGUCAAGAACUGAUUUUUACUACGUUGGUUUUCACAAUCUCACAAUUUGUUGUAUUUGCUUUCUCUGAUGGUUGGUCAAGUAACAAAAUAUUUCUCUUUGGAUUAUUGGCACUUUUCCUAUCCUUUAAUUCCAUGACCUCAUUGAUUUUGAAUCCCAAGUCCUCUACAAUAAAUGCAGAUCACAGUUGCCACUAGGUAUUAAACACAAAUUGACCAAGUAACAACCUCAAACUAUGAACAUUCUUUCAUGGUCUUGAUAUUGGCAAUGUGGGAAAAUAUGGAACUCUUUUUUGUACUCUGGCAGUUGAAACAAAUUAACGGCGCAUUCCUUAGGAGGUAUGGAUUGCACCAAGCCACCAACGACUAGGAGCGCUAGUGAUUGUAGAAAUUGUUCCCCCUCUCCUCCUCCUCCUUUUGAUGAAGGGAAAGAAAUUUUUAGUUAUCUCUUUGGAAAAAUAGACUUAACUCUACAAUUUUACAGAAAGCAACUAGUGUUCCUGCAUAAUUUUAUUAGAGAAAAUUUACACAUUUAGCAACUCAAAUCUCGACCCUUGCAUCCGCCACUGCAAAUGCCUCUCUUUCAUAUGUUUUUCUUAGUUUAUGGUAUGAACUGCAAUUUCAAGCUCGAAUACCUAAAAAUACGCUUUGCAAAUCGCGUAAAGUAAAGGCUUGAAAAUAUUAGCUUACUGAAAUUUUAUUUAAGUAUACUAAAUGUUACUACUUGAGAUUCUACACUCCCUAGAAGCACGUUAAGUUAAGCAGAUACUAUGAUUGUAGAUUUAGAGGGCAAUCCAUUAAUAAUCGGCCAUUUUUUGAUCUUUAAGAACAACUUGAUGAAUUUAGUAUAUCUUUUAGGAGGCCCCUAAUAACACUAUAGAUCGAACCUAUCCAAUUUUUACAGCACGAUGGUUGGCUGUCCACAAUCUAAUCCAAUUAAGCACUUUUAGCAAAAGAACUAAAAUUGCUUUGUUUACGGUCGUAACUCUAUCAGAAUUAUAGACCCAUCUAAGCCGUUCGUUGCAUAUAGAUGGCAACUAGCUACCAUUUUAUUCGGUAAACCACCGUGCCCACCUAAAUAAUCUCACCUAUCUAUCCCUACCCUUGAUCUUCCUUGGUUGCCCCUUCUUUUCUCCUCCAGUUCCAUUUUCCAUUCUAUUCCUUUUUUUUUGUCAAUUAUCCGUUGGUUUUGAUAUUAAGGGAGAUAUGCUUGGAAAAAGUUUAGAAAAACCUAGUUGAACGUCUAGAUUAUUAUUUGGUAUGAAGUUAGCGAAGAUAAAAAUUCAGAAAAAGAAAAAAAUUCGCCUCUUGAUUACUUUAGUUGUAGGGAAUACCAGAAAGUUAAAAUUUUGAAUCAUUAACAAUUUAAAGGAGGUGACCCAAAAAUGGAAGCAACUUGUUUCUCAAUUUUUGCUAGUUGUAACCAUGGUUGGUUGGCAGCAUAAGUUUUAGACCUUACCAAAAUAUGUACAACUCAGUAGAAAAUCAAUGGUAAAGAUGUUAGAAUAGUUGAGGCAGAAGGCAUUACCAUUCAGAACUGUGUCAUGUCUCCGCUGGACAAACUCACAGCUCCCACUUACCUGGGCAGGCCCUGGAAGCCUUAUUCCACUACCGUAAUCUUGCAAACCAACAUAGGUGCCUUCCUAGCCCCCAAAGGUUGGAUUGAAUGGGUCUUCAAUGUGGAGCCACCCAGCACCAUUUUCUACGGCGAGUACCAAAACACAGGUCCCGGAUCCAGCGUCGCGCAAAGGGUGAAGUGGGCUGGU